This is a long non-coding RNA of Oreochromis aureus, 1462 nucleotides long. RefSeq lists it as uncharacterized. The record is from RefSeq and is a predicted model, not a curated record. NCBI's taxonomy places the organism in Eukaryota, Metazoa, Chordata, Actinopteri, Cichliformes, Cichlidae. The transcript is spliced from 8 exons.
CUUUAAACAGUCCCUCUGUGUCUCUGUGUGUGCUGAACAUCUAGAAUCAGAUUGAGUCAGGCUGCAUCAACUGAAUGUGUUAUAUGUAAUUAUCAGUAUUUUUUAAUUCAGGUGUGGGGAAAAUACGUAAGAUUACAGUGAAGAGAUGUACCAGAUUAAUCCCUGGCCAAAGUCCUCUGACAGACUGGUACCUGUCCAGGUGUGCUCUACCUAUGACUACUGGGACAGGCUCUAAUAGAAAGUUUCUAUUAUUCUCAUUUAAGAACAGUUCUCCACAGUCACUGUCCACAUGGGUCAGUGGGACCAAGAAGCACUCUGCUAAUGUGUGGACUCUGACCAGCAACAUCCAGCAAGACCCAGGCAGUGUUUUCUAUCUCCCUGCUGGAGUUUUUUGUUUGUGACAGGAGAGUCAGAUUUUUGUUGAGGCUGGAGGAACAGCCUCACACUUGCAGAGGUUAAUACAUGCUACUGAUCCCUGAUGGGAGAAUCUUCACCUCUGCCAACAAAGAAGCCUGGUGGAUGUUUGUUUGCAGUCUGAUGAUGGGACCUCAUGCUCUGCAUCUUCAAAGUUUGUCUCUUGCUUAUUAUUGAUACACAGUAAUGUGAAGUAUGCUUAUAUCUAGUAUAACUGGACCAACCUGGUGCUCUUCAUUUAUGGAGGCUGUUGAGUCUGAAUGUUGGAUAUUGUGUGUCUCGUGUUCUCUGGGCUUUGUUGUCCUCAGUCUUUUUGCAGGAUCAGAAAACAAAACCAGGAGGCACGUAAAUGUUUCUUCUCCAAUUGGAUGAUGAUAAGACUGUGACAUGGGAUGCCACCUUUAGUCUUGUGAUGAAGCAAAGCUCAGGAAGAAGUGUGAUUAAAUGGUACUCACAUGUGUGCUGCUGAGAAGGAUGUACAGGGGCACCUGCAGCCAAAUCCAAGCCUCCUCAGAGCAGAGCGGCCAUUUGUGCUCACAGAUGGUGACGGUGUGGAGAGACGGUGGUGUUUCCUCAGAAGAACUAGCAGAGUCACAAAGGGCACGAGUCCUUCUCACCACCUUGACCUGCUGACUGAUGCUCGUCUGCACUGCACAGAGGAAAUCAACUGACCGAGGAGUGUUUCUGAGUGAGGGAGAGAGGAGUCAUCAUCCAGGUAAAGUGACGUGGAUCAGUGGAUACUUGUCUCCCCUUUAAAGAAGAUACUCUUAGAAAGAGACGAUCCGAGUCAUCAUAAAAUAUGGGAAGCAUAUCAAUUUUGGACUGUCUAACCUGCCGGAGCAGCACUGAAUGACCACCACACAUGAGCAUGUUCCUGCAACAUUCAGCAGCUUUGCUUUUGUGUCAAACCAGCUGGAGAGGAAACUACACCAGUGUACUGGGAUGUUUCAGCAACACGUGCCAGAUGCUGUUCCUUCAUGGUGACAUCACCAGAGACAGCCCUGCCCACCUCAGGACCUCACCAUUGAUCAUGAUGAUUAUAAUAAUG